RNAcentral lists this ribosomal RNA (680 nucleotides) under uncultured bacterium. RNAcentral's name for it is "bacterial SSU rRNA". It matches the Rfam family "Bacterial small subunit ribosomal RNA", at positions 45 to 715 of the family's 1533-position model. The record is from RNAcentral.
GGCUUAACACAUGCAAGUCGAGGGGCAGCAUGAACUUAGCUUGCUAAGUUUGAUGGCGACCGGCGCACGGGUGAGUAACACGUAUCCAACCUGCCGAUGACUCGGGGAUAGCCUUUCGAAAGAAAGAUUAAUACCCGAUGGCAUAGUUCUUCCGCAUGGUAGAACUAUUAAAGAAUUUCGGUCAUCGAUGGGGAUGCGUUCCAUUAGGUUGUUGGCGGGGUAACGGCCCACCAAGCCUUCGAUGGAUAGGGGUUCUGAGAGGAAGGUCCCCCACAUUGGAACUGAGACACGGUCCAAACUCCUACGGGAGGCAGCAGUGAGGAAUAUUGGUCAAUGGACGAGAGUCUGAACCAGCCAAGUAGCGUGAAGGAUGACUGCCCUAUGGGUUGUAAACUUCUUUUAUACGGGAAUAAAGUGAGGCACGUGUGCCUUUUUGUAUGUACCGUAUGAAUAAGGAUCGGCUAACUCCGUGCCAGCAGCCGCGGUAAUACGGAGGAUCCGAGCGUUAUCCGGAUUUAUUGGGUUUAAAGGGAGCGUAGGCGGACGCUUAAGUCAGUUGUGAAAGUUUGCGGCUCAACCGUAAAAUUGCAGUUGAUACUGGGUGUCUUGAGUACAGUAGAGGCAGGCGGAAUUCGUGGUGUAGCGGUGAAAUGCUUAGAUAUCACGAAGAACUCCGAUUG